RNAcentral lists this ribosomal RNA (507 nucleotides) under uncultured bacterium. RNAcentral's name for it is "bacterial SSU rRNA". It matches the Rfam family "Bacterial small subunit ribosomal RNA", at positions 791 to 1304 of the family's 1533-position model. The record is from RNAcentral.
UAGUCCACGCCGUAAACGAUGGAUACUAGCUGUCCGGGCGCAAGCCUGGGCGGCCAAGCGAAAGUGAUAAGUAUCCCACCUGGGGAGUACGUCCGCAAGGAUGAAACUCAAAGGAAUUGACGGGGGCCCGCACAAGCGGUGGAGCAUGUGGUUUAAUUCGAUGAUACGCGAGGAACCUUACCAGGGCUUAAAUGUGGUCUGACAGCUUUAGAGAUAGAGUUUCCUUCGGGCAGAUCACAAGGUGCUGCAUGGUUGUCGUCAGCUCGUGCCGUGAGGUGUCAGGUUAAGUCCUAUAACGAGCGCAACCCCUGCCGUUAGUUGCCAGCAUGUAAUGAUGGGGACUCUAACGGGACUGCCGGUGCAAACCGCGAGGAAGGUGGGGAUGACGUCAAAUCAUCACGGCCCUUACGUCCUGGGCCACACACGUGCUACAAUGGCCGGUACAGAGAGCAGCCACGUCGCAAGGCGGAGCGAAUCUAUAAAACCGGUCACAGUUCGGAUCGGGGU